RNAcentral lists this ribosomal RNA (253 nucleotides) under uncultured bacterium. Its description in RNAcentral is "partial 16S ribosomal RNA". It matches the Rfam family "Bacterial small subunit ribosomal RNA", at positions 524 to 776 of the family's 1533-position model. The record is from RNAcentral.
UACCGAGGUCUCAAGCGUUGUUCGGAUUCAUUGGGCGUAAAGGGUGCGUAGGCGGCGCGGUAAGUCGGGUGUGAAAUCUCGGAGCUUAACUCCGAAACUGCAUUCGAUACUGCCGUGCUUGAGGACUGGAGAGGAGACUGGAAUUUACGGUGUAGCGGUGAAAUGCGUAGAUAUCGUAAGGAAGACCAGUGGCGAAGGCGGGUCUCUGGACAGUUCCUGACGCUGAGGCACGAAGGCCAGGGGAGCAAACGGG